UACGUAGGGUGCAAGCGUUAAUCGGAAUUACUGGGCGUAAAGCGUGCGCAGGCGGUCUUGCAAGACAGAUGUGAAAUCCCCGGGCUCAACCUGGGAACUGCAUUUGUGACUGCAAGGCUGGAGUGCGGCAGAGGGGGAUGGAAUUCCGCGUGUAGCAGUGAAAUGCGUAGAUAUGCGGAGGAACACCGAUGGCGAAGGCAAUCCCCUGGGGCUGCACUGACGCUCAUGCACGAAAGCGUGGGGAGCAAACAGG
Molecule: ribosomal RNA, 253 nt
Filed under: uncultured bacterium
Lineage: Bacteria
Description: partial 16S ribosomal RNA
Rfam family: Bacterial small subunit ribosomal RNA
Source: RNAcentral